AUUCUGUCCUUCCAACUGCUUAUGGGAGAGAAUACUGUACGAUGAUUAUGAUAAACGUCGACGCCCAUGGCUUAGGAGGGUGGCUACCCUCAUACUGCGCAUGUAUGUUAGAAUUUAAAUUUGCAAACUUCCAUCUACUUAUUCUAACAGGCUCCGGUCGGCUAUGCGCUAAGAUGUCGAUGGCGCAAGGAACACCAGACAUCCUAUUCACCGUACAACGACAAACCCGAAGAGAGCAUUUGCAUUAUCCCGGUACAAGAUUGACAGGCGCAGUCAUAAACAAGAGACGAGUUCGCCAAUAAAAAUCCAGAAUCAUUUUUAGGUGCGAAACAGGAAUGUGCGAGACAGCAAAUGCAAUGCUAAUGGCCGCUCCAGGCGAGUAACAGCCUCGUCCUAGUCAGCCAAUCUGUGUACGACUGCAAACAUUCAUUUAUAGCCAGCGUUUCCUUUGCUAUUUGAAUAUCAUAAUGAGGUCAGGUUCUAUGGCAACAUUCAGAUGACGUCCAAUCAUCUCAUUCUGACCGAGGGCUGAGCAGCGGACAAGGUAGAGUAUGGCUAUUGCUUUCCAUUCUAUCAUAGAUUGUACGUACUGUAGCACGGCUUGUGGAGACAGUUUCCUAUCUAGUCUGUGUGUGUGGCGGACUGUCUCCGUCGGCGCGGGGGUUCGUCCGUAACGCCGCUUCGGAAUCUGACAGUCAGUCCGUCCCGUUUUGUCUCCCGUAUCCGCCGUGCCUUAUGGACUUUUAUCGGUGACCUUUGAACUCCGCUAUGACGUAGCAGUUCGUCGCACUCUAUAACGCUAUCUGUGUACCCAUGGAUUUAUCACUUGAUUCUACUUUUCUUCCGGAAUGUUUUCGGUCGCUUCCUACGGUCCGGAUUUUCAGUUUCCGAACUGCAGCUGCACUCGGUGGUGCCGUGCACCGACUGUUAGGCUUAGCGUCGGUGCGUCACGGUGCUAUUGGCCGCCGAGGGCGUCGGCAUUAACACGGGCACCGAUGCCAAACAGUGCACCACAUCUACUCUCGGUUGGCACCGACCACCACUCUCUGGACUAACUCAUCUUCGACCACCAACAUCCUUUAACUCGCCGUGUAACAAAAGCCGAAAACGAGUCAAAGACCCGAAUCUCCCGGAUAUAUUUUUUAAGAAUUUAAUCCGAUAAAGCGGCCACAUGGUUUCUUCUGUUUGUUUAUAUUUUUUUUAUAUAUACUAAACAACAGUCCCAUGUCCUUUUAAUAUAUAUUAUCAUUAUAACUUCUAUCAAAACAGCGAGGAAGUUUUGCCCAAUUGAAAAUCCUCCGCCGCCUUAUCUGACUUUAAAAAUAGUCUACAAAUAUAAUUUUACUCGUCG
Molecule: long non-coding RNA, 1351 nt
Filed under: Androctonus crassicauda
Lineage: Eukaryota; Metazoa; Arthropoda; Arachnida; Scorpiones; Buthidae
Source: RNAcentral